AUGUCUGGAGGAUGCACGGUUCAAGAUUUAAAGACAGCAGCUGUUCAAGGAGUUUGCUCAGUUUCAGCUCUCAUGCUAUGGAAGUUGGUGUUCAACAAAACUGAGCUCUUGAAGCUUGUCGAAAUAAUCAGCAUGUCACAGAUGUGCCUGAGCACACUGAGAUCUCUCCUCCUGGUCUUGUGGUUACCAUCAGUGACACCUUCAGUCUCGCCACUUCCCAGCAGAGCCUGGCCUUCCUCGGCAGCAUUUCUGGUAAAUUUCCCCUUUUUUGCGGUGUCAAUCAAACGGGACAGACAAUGGACGGUGAACUUUCUGUCCCUUUUUCUCAAUGGGUGUUACUUUUUCUCAUUUCUGCAACACUUUGAUCAGUUUGGCUAAUUAACCAUGCUGACAUAAUAGCGGACAAAAAAAAUUGAAAAGUACAAGGCGUCCUCAGGAAGUGAGUCUUCACGUGGGGUCUGACUGAAAAAUGAGGAAGACCCCCUGAGGAUGGCUGGCUGACCUGAGGUCACACACAUUUAUUCCCCCUGCAGUUAAUAAAUUCUCUUUUUUAGUGUUACAUCAGUACUUUAAAAUAGUUUUGUUCCAGGGACAGGAAGAAAAUGCCUGACCUUUAGCUAAUAAUGCUCAAUACUACAGUACUAUGAUGACACGCUAAUAAGAAACUCUUACAUUUAUCUUCCUCAUUAUGUACAGUUAAAUAGUUAAACGUUGGUGAAUAUGUAGUAUCUUGUUAAAAAAAACAGCAGAUUUUAUUAAUCAUCUUAAAGUGGCUAAAUCUUUUCUUACAAGACAUUUAAUGAGACAGCC
RNAcentral lists this long non-coding RNA (810 nucleotides) under Lepisosteus oculatus (spotted gar). RNAcentral's name for it is "lncRNA (ENSLOCG00000021276.1)". Lineage: Eukaryota; Metazoa; Chordata; Actinopteri; Semionotiformes; Lepisosteidae. The record is from RNAcentral.